UACGUAGGGGGCGAGCGUUGUCCGGAAUCAUUGGGCGUAAAGAGCGUAUAGGCGGCUUGGCAAGUCUGACGUGAAAUCCCGCGGCUCAACCGCGGUAGGUCGUUGGAAACUGCCUCGCUAGAGUCCGGAAGAGGAGAGCGGAAUUCCUGGUGUAGCGGUGGAAUGCGCAGAUAUCAGGAAGAACACCCGUGGCGAAGGCGGCUCUCUGGGACGGUACUGACGCUGAGACGCGAAAGCGUGGGGAGCGAACAGG
Molecule: ribosomal RNA, 253 nt
Filed under: uncultured bacterium
Lineage: Bacteria
Description: partial 16S ribosomal RNA
Rfam family: Bacterial small subunit ribosomal RNA
Source: RNAcentral